RNAcentral lists this microRNA precursor (96 nucleotides) under Choloepus hoffmanni (Hoffmann's two-fingered sloth). RNAcentral's name for it is "miRNA (ENSCHOG00000015455.1)". The record is from RNAcentral. Lineage: Eukaryota; Metazoa; Chordata; Mammalia; Pilosa; Megalonychidae.
CCUGGGAACUUGUUAGAAAUGCAAAAUCUGAGGCACCAGCCCAGAUUUAGUGAAUCGGAAACUCUGGGAGUGGAGCCCAGCAAUCUGCAUUUUAGC